CCAGAACGCCAAGAUCACACCCUGAGCCGAAGCCAGAUGCUCAACGACUGCGCCACCCAGGUGGAAUGUGGAUGGUUGAGCUGCUCCAUGCUGCCAAGGGAACAUGGAGACCAAAUCCUCUACCCACCAGCUUUCAACUCCAGACUUCAGGGUGGGAGUAGGAUUGGAAAUUGGUGUUUGAGGCAUUGUGAGAAGCAUGGGAGCACAUAAUGAAAAAGAUUCUUCAUCUGUUCUGGUGGAGCAUGCUGAUCCUUAAUCCUGGGCACAGUCAUCAAAACUCUAGCCUGCCACUCCUUCUAAUAUCGGAGAUUGGACUUGGUGGGCAUCAUCUGCAGCCCUUUCAAAACCCCACAGGUCUGGGACAUUUAUGCAACAAAUUUAUGAAGCACACAUUCUAAUGGAGGAAGAAAAACAAUAAUCAUCAUAAACAGAUGAAGUAUGUCAGGGAUUAUAAGACUUUAAGCAGAUUAUCCUCCAUGAUGUGGGUGACCUCUUCCAAUCAGUUGAAAGCCUGAAGAAUGAAGACUGCAGCUUUCUGAAGAAGGAAUUUUGCCUCAAGACUGCAGUAUAGAAAUCUUGCCUGAGUUUCCAGACUGCUAACCUGCACUGUGGAUUUGGGACUCAAGAAUGCAGCAUCAACUCUUAGCUGAAUUUCAUCUGCUAGCCUGCCCUACCAAUUUCAGACCUGCCGGCACCCAUAACUGCGUGAGCCUAUUCAUUCCUUCAAAUAAAUCUCUG
Ailuropoda melanoleuca (giant panda) is the source of this 738-nucleotide long non-coding RNA. RefSeq lists it as uncharacterized. The transcript has 6 exons. The record is from RefSeq and is a predicted model, not a curated record. Lineage: Eukaryota; Metazoa; Chordata; Mammalia; Carnivora; Ursidae.